UACGGAGGGUGCAAGCGUUAUCCGGAUUCACUGGGUUUAAAGGGUGCGUAGGUGGGAAUGUAAGUCAGCGGUGAAAUCUCCGUGCUUAACAUGGAAACUGCCAUUGAUACUAUGUUUCUUGAAUUUUCUGGAGGUAAGCGGAAUAUGUCAUGUAGCGGUGAAAUGCUUAGAUAUGACAUAGAACACCAAUUGCGAAGGCAGCUUACUACAGGGAUAUUGACACUGAGGCACGAAAGCGUGGGGAUCAAACAGG
RNAcentral lists this ribosomal RNA (253 nucleotides) under uncultured bacterium. Its description in RNAcentral is "partial 16S ribosomal RNA". It matches the Rfam family "Bacterial small subunit ribosomal RNA", at positions 524 to 776 of the family's 1533-position model. The record is from RNAcentral.